UGAAGUUAACUAGGAGUUAAUCACCUUUUGCAGGUCACAUGGAGUGAUGUGCUGAAUGUACCAAGUGGUGUGAGGGUUGUACUUAGAGUUUUGACAAUUGUAUGUUUGUUUCAGUA
Long non-coding RNA from Sander lucioperca (pikeperch), 116 nucleotides. RefSeq lists it as uncharacterized. Lineage: Eukaryota; Metazoa; Chordata; Actinopteri; Perciformes; Percidae. The record is from RefSeq and is a predicted model, not a curated record. The transcript has 3 exons.